RNAcentral lists this ribosomal RNA (253 nucleotides) under uncultured bacterium. RNAcentral's name for it is "partial 16S ribosomal RNA". It matches the Rfam family "Bacterial small subunit ribosomal RNA", at positions 524 to 776 of the family's 1533-position model. The record is from RNAcentral.
GACGAACCGUGCGAACGUUGUUCGGAAUCACUGGGCUUAAAGGGCGCGUAGGCGGGCUCACAAGUCAGGGGUGAAAUCCCACGGCUCAACCGUGGAAGUGCCUUUGAUACUGUGGGUCUUGAGGGAGGUAGGGGCGUGCGGAACUUCCGGUGGAGCGGUGAAAUGCGUAGAUAUCUGGAGGAACACCGGUGGCGAAGGCGGCAUCCUGGACCAACACUGACGCUGAGGAGCGAAAGCCAGGGGAGCAAACGGG